GGAGGGGUGACGGAGCGGCCGAACGUGCCGGUCUUGAAAACCGGUGUCCGGGAAACUGGACCGUGGGUUCAAAUCCCACCCCUCCGCCA
This 89-nucleotide transfer RNA is filed under the name Nitrospira sp. Its description in RNAcentral is "tRNA-Ser". It matches the Rfam family "tRNA". Rfam says of the family: Transfer RNA (tRNA) molecules are approximately 80 nucleotides in length. Their secondary structure includes four short double-helical elements and three loops (D, anti-codon, and T loops). Further hydrogen bonds mediate the characteristic L-shaped molecular structure. tRNAs have two regions of fundamental functional importance: the anti-codon, which is responsible for specific mRNA codon recognition, and the 3' end, to which the tRNAs corresponding amino acid is attached (by aminoacyl-tRNA synthetases). tRNAs cope with the degeneracy of the genetic code in two manners: having more than one tRNA (with a specific anti-codon) for a particular amino acid; and 'wobble' base-pairing, i.e. permitting non-standard base-pairing at the 3rd anti-codon position. The record is from RNAcentral. Lineage: Bacteria; Pseudomonadati; Nitrospirota; Nitrospiria; Nitrospirales; Nitrospiraceae.